GAUGAACGCUAGCGGGAGGCUUAACACAUGCAAGUCGAGGGGCAGCAUAGGGUAGCAAUACUCUGAUGGCGACCGGCAAACGGGUGAGUAACGCGUAUGCAACCUACCCUGUACAGGGGGAUAACCCGGAGAAAUUCGGACUAAUAUCCCGUAAUAAUAUCCGGAGGCAUCUUUGGAUAUUUAAAGUUCCGACGGUACGGGAUGGGCAUGCGUAACAUUAACUGGUUGGUAAGGUAACGGCUUACCAAGGCUAUGAUGUUUAGGGGUCCUGAGAGGGUGGUCCCCCACACUGGUACUGAGACACGGACCAGACUCCUACGGGAGGCAGCAGUGAGGAAUAUUGGUCAAUGGGCGCAAGCCUGAACCAGCCAUCCCGCGUGCAGGAAGACGGCCCUAUGGGUUGUAAACUGCUUUUCCAGGGAGAGAAACUUACGCACGUGUUGCGUGACUGACGUCCUGGGAAUAAGCAUCGGCUAACUCCGUG
RNAcentral lists this ribosomal RNA (484 nucleotides) under uncultured bacterium. Its description in RNAcentral is "bacterial SSU rRNA". It matches the Rfam family "Bacterial small subunit ribosomal RNA", at positions 28 to 507 of the family's 1533-position model. The record is from RNAcentral.